Molecule: transfer RNA, 69 nt
Filed under: Ictidomys tridecemlineatus (thirteen-lined ground squirrel)
Lineage: Eukaryota; Metazoa; Chordata; Mammalia; Rodentia; Sciuridae
Description: Spermophilus tridecemlineatus (thirteen-lined ground squirrel) tRNA
Rfam family: tRNA
About the family: Transfer RNA (tRNA) molecules are approximately 80 nucleotides in length. Their secondary structure includes four short double-helical elements and three loops (D, anti-codon, and T loops).
Source: Rfam by way of RNAcentral
GGGGCUGGGGCUCAGUGGUAGAGUGCUUGCCUAGCAUGCAUGGAGGCACUAGUUCAAUCCUCAGCACCA